GCGAACUUUUAUCUGAGUCCUUGGCUUUGUCUUGCCUGGUUUGUCAAUGAUUCCCUUCUUGUAGUUGGAAGAUUCUAUUCGGCUAACGGAAUGGAGUGGCCAUGGCGCUCUUGAAUCACAUCUGCGCCAGAGCUCCACGCAAAAAUCGAGGAAAAUCCUCGGAUCGAAGAAACCCAUACCUCGAAACACGGCAGGAGCCUCGGCCAUGCUGCCAACAUAUCACUAUUGCAUUGCAUUGGAGACAAGAACAGGCGGAUUUCCUGGUCCGCAUCUACAACAAGCCACAGAACCGUUACGGUACCACAAAACACAUUACUACCAGUUAAACCUUGGUGGAACGAGGAGUGCCAUCGGCUUCACACAGCAUACAAGCAGGCCAAACUAAGAGGACACUUAGCAGCACAGUCUCUGCGUUGAGAUUUCAGGAAAAUGGCUAGGGCAUGAGCUUGCUUCCACGCUAAAUGUUUCAGCAUGCUUGGGAAGUGAGGAAAGCUUACUGUAUUUUUAGCAAGCAUUGCUUUCCAGUGAUCACACUCUGGGUUCAAUAUAUCUGCCAGGUGCAUGAGCCAGCAACAGUUUUUACUUUCCCAAAA
Long non-coding RNA from Selaginella moellendorffii, 593 nucleotides. RefSeq lists it as uncharacterized. NCBI's taxonomy places the organism in Eukaryota, Viridiplantae, Streptophyta, Lycopodiopsida, Selaginellales, Selaginellaceae. The record is from RefSeq and is a predicted model, not a curated record. The transcript has 2 exons.